ACGGGUGCGUAACGCGUAUGCAAUCUACCUUUUACAGAGGGAUAGCCCAGAGAAAUUUGGAUUAAUACCUCAUAGCGUUAUCGAGUGGCAUCAUUUGAUAACUAAAGUUCCAACGGUAAAAGAUGAGCAUGCGUCCUAUUAGCUAGAUGGUAAGGUAACGGCUUACCAUGGCUACGAUAGGUAGGGGUCCUGAGAGGGAGAUCCCCCACACUGGUACUGAGACACGGACCAGACUCCUACGGGAGGCAGCAGUGAGGAAUAUUGGACAAUGGGCGCAAGCCUGAUCCAGCCAUGCCGCGUGCAGGAAGAAGCAUCUAUGGUGUGUAAACUGCUUUUGUACAGGAAGAAACAUCCCGACGUGUCGGGACUUGACGGUACUGUAAGAAUAAGGAUCGGCUAACUCCGUGCC
RNAcentral lists this ribosomal RNA (409 nucleotides) under uncultured bacterium. Its description in RNAcentral is "bacterial SSU rRNA". It matches the Rfam family "Bacterial small subunit ribosomal RNA", at positions 102 to 509 of the family's 1533-position model. The record is from RNAcentral.